GAGGAAUAUUGGUCAAUGGGCGCAAGCCUGAACCAGCCAUCCCGCGUGAAGGAAGACGGCCCUAUGGGUUGUAAACUUCUUUUGUACAUGAAGAAAGGGACCUACGGGUAGGUUCGUGACGGUAAUGUACGAAUAAGCAUCGGCUAACUCCGUGCCAGCAGCCGCGGUAAUACGGAGGAUGCGAGCGUUAUCCGGAUUCAUUGGGUUUAAAGGGUACGUAGGUGGCCCGGUAAGUCAGUGGUGAAAACCUGCCGCUUAACGGUAGGCGUGCCAUUGAUACUGUCGGGCUUGAGUGCAGUUGAGGCAGGCGGAAUGUGUAGUGUAGCGGUGAAAUGCAUAGAUAUUACACAGAACUCCGAUUGCGAAGGCAGCUUGCUAAAGUGCAACUGACGCUGAUGUACGAAAGCGUGGGUAGCGAAC
RNAcentral lists this ribosomal RNA (420 nucleotides) under uncultured bacterium. RNAcentral describes it as "bacterial SSU rRNA". It matches the Rfam family "Bacterial small subunit ribosomal RNA", at positions 356 to 773 of the family's 1533-position model. The record is from RNAcentral.